Molecule: ribosomal RNA, 492 nt
Filed under: uncultured bacterium
Lineage: Bacteria
Description: partial 16S ribosomal RNA
Rfam family: Bacterial small subunit ribosomal RNA
Source: RNAcentral
AGUGAACGCUGGCGGUAGGCCUAACACAUGCAAGUCGAACGGCAGCACAGUAAGAGCUUGCUCUUACGGGUGGCGAGUGGCGGACGGGUGAGGAAUACAUCGGAAUCUACUUUUUCGUGGGGGAUAACGUAGGGAAACUUACGCUAAUACCGCAUACGACCUACGGGUGAAAGUAGGGGAUCUUCGGACCUUGCGCGAUUGAAUGAGCCGAUGUCGGAUUAGCUAGUUGGCGGGGUAAAGGCCCACCAAGGCGACGAUCCGUAGCUGGUCUGAGAGGAUGAUCAGCCACACUGGAACUGAGACACGGUCCAGACUCCUACGGGAGGCAGCAGUGGGGAAUAUUGGACAAUGGGCGCAAGCCUGAUCCAGCCAUACCGCGUGGGUGAAGAAGGCCUUCGGGUUGUAAAGCCCUUUUGUUGGGAAAGAAAGGCAGCAGGUUAAUACCCCGCUGUUCUGACGGUACCCAAAGAAUAAGCACCGGCUAACUUCGUG